RNAcentral lists this ribosomal RNA (1074 nucleotides) under fungal endophyte. RNAcentral's name for it is "eukaryotic LSU rRNA". The stretch from base 480 to 1074 matches the Rfam family "Eukaryotic large subunit ribosomal RNA", at positions 1 to 608 of the family's 3401-position model. Lineage: Eukaryota; Fungi. The record is from RNAcentral.
GCGGAGGGAUCAUUACAGAGUUAUCCAACUCCCAAACCCAUGUGAACUUAUCUCUUUGUUGCCUCGGCGCAAGCUACCCGGGACCUCGCGCCCCGGGCGGCCCGCCGGCGGACAAACCAAACUCUGUUAUCUUCGUUGAUUAUCUGAGUGUCUUAUUUAAUAAGUCAAAACUUUCAACAACGGAUCUCUUGGUUCUGGCAUCGAUGAAGAACGCAGCGAAAUGCGAUAAGUAAUGUGAAUUGCAGAAUUCAGUGAAUCAUCGAAUCUUUGAACGCACAUUGCGCCCAUUAGUAUUCUAGUGGGCAUGCCUGUUCGAGCGUCAUUUCAACCCCUAAGCACAGCUUAUUGUUGGGAAUCCACGCCUGUGGUUCCUCAAAGACAUUGGCGGAGUGGCAGUAGUCCUCUGAGCGUAGUAAUUCUUUAUCUCGCUUUUGUUAGGUGCUGCCCCCCCGGCCGUAAAACCCCCAAUUUUUUCUGGUUGACCUCGGAUCAGGUAGGAAUACCCGCUGAACUUAAGCAUAUCAAUAAGCGGAGGAAAAGAAACCAACAGGGAUUCCCCUAGUAACGGCGAGUGAAGCGGGAACAGCUCAAAUUUGAAAUCUGGCCCUCGGGUCCGAGUUGUAAUUUGUAGAGGAUGCUUUUGGUGCGGUGCCUUCCGAGUUCCCUGGAACGGGACGCCUUAGAGGGUGAGAGCCCCGUACGGUUGGACGCCUAGCCUCUGUAAAGCUCCUUCGACGAGUCGAGUAGUUUGGGAAUGCUGCUCUAAAUGGGAGGUAUAUUUCUUCUAAAGCUAAAUACUGGCCAGAGACCGAUAGCGCACAAGUAGAGUGAUCGAAAGAUGAAAAGCACUUUGAAAAGAGGGUUAAAUAGCACGUGAAAUUGUUGAAAGGGAAGCGUUUAUCACCAGACUUUUUCUAGGGGGAUCAUCCGGUGUUCUCACCGGUGCACUUCCCCUAGUUGAGGCCAGCAUCGGUUUUCGGAGGGGGAUAAAAGUUUCGGGAAUGUGACUCCCCCGGGAGUGUUAUAGCCCGUUACAUAAUACCCUUCUGGGGACCGAGGUUCGCGCAUCUGCAA